ACCUACACCCAUGCCACUCUGAACGCACCCGAUUUGUCUGACCUCGGAAGCUGAGCAGGGUCAGGCCCGGUUAGUGCUUGGGUG
RNAcentral lists this ribosomal RNA (84 nucleotides) under Neogale vison (American mink). Lineage: Eukaryota; Metazoa; Chordata; Mammalia; Carnivora; Mustelidae. The record is from RNAcentral.